RNAcentral lists this small RNA (79 nucleotides) under Salmonella enterica subsp. enterica serovar Oranienburg. RNAcentral's name for it is "partial RtT sRNA". It matches the Rfam family "RtT RNA", at positions 1 to 77 of the family's 130-position model. From Rfam's summary of the family: This family represents a bacterial cis-regulatory element known as RtT RNA. The exact function of RtT is unknown although it is thought that it may be involved in changing the cellular response in relation to amino acid starvation. The record is from RNAcentral. RNAcentral also lists the same sequence under 1 other name. Lineage: Bacteria; Pseudomonadati; Pseudomonadota; Gammaproteobacteria; Enterobacterales; Enterobacteriaceae.
AUAUCUCUCCGUACGGGAAGGAUGAGAAGCUUCGACUAAGGUUCGAUUCGAGCGAAAGCGAGAAAGCGUUGCCAACGGC